AGAUAGUUAAAGCAAGAUUGUCUCACCUGCGACAUGCAAAUUUGUCACCCAUGCAGCUUGGUGUACCAGCUCAAUACCACACACCACUUCCGGCAGCUGUUGUGGAACUUGCAUCAUUAGCUAGUAUUGAGAGUGCCAUUGGCCGACUGCAGUGUGUUAGUGCUACCACAGAAUCAUCCAAGCUUCGGCAAAAGAAGCUUGUCUUACCUUCAUCAGUACAAAGACCAAGAUGGGGAACCAGAAUUAACCAUGACACGUGAGGAGCUGGUGGCACUUCUAGCAACUGUUGUGGUUCAGGCACAGUGCUCCAAUUUGGUUGCCAAUAUCUACUACAUGACUCAUUUUGUGUUUUCUGUUACUGAGGAUGACCC
Molecule: long non-coding RNA, 371 nt
Organism: Macrobrachium nipponense
Lineage: Eukaryota; Metazoa; Arthropoda; Malacostraca; Decapoda; Palaemonidae
Exons: 3
Source: RefSeq, a predicted model, not a curated record